GGGCGGUUAGCUCAGCGGGAGAGCAUUACCUUCACACGGUAGGGGUCGCAGGUUCGAAUCCUGUACCGCCCACCA
This 75-nucleotide transfer RNA is filed under the name Coriobacteriia bacterium. RNAcentral's name for it is "tRNA-Val". It matches the Rfam family "tRNA". From Rfam's summary of the family: Transfer RNA (tRNA) molecules are approximately 80 nucleotides in length. Their secondary structure includes four short double-helical elements and three loops (D, anti-codon, and T loops). Lineage: Bacteria; Bacillati; Actinomycetota; Coriobacteriia. The record is from RNAcentral.